UACAGGGGGGGCAAGCGUUAUUCGGAAUUAUUGGGCGUAAAGGGCGCGUAGGCGGCUUGGCAAGUGGAUGGUGAAAUCCCUCGGCUUAACCGAGGAACUGCCGUCCAAACUGCUUUGCUUGAGACCGGGAGAGGUGAGUGGAAUUCCCAGUGUAGCGGUGAAAUGCGUAGAUAUUGGGAGGAACACCAGUGGCGAAGGCGGCUCACUGGACCGGUACUGACGCUGAUGCGCGAAAGCGUGGGGAGCAAACAGG
Molecule: ribosomal RNA, 253 nt
Filed under: uncultured bacterium
Lineage: Bacteria
Description: partial 16S ribosomal RNA
Rfam family: Bacterial small subunit ribosomal RNA
Source: RNAcentral